This 78-nucleotide transfer RNA is filed under the name Candidatus Endobugula sertula (Bugula neritina bacterial symbiont). Its description in RNAcentral is "tRNA-Pro". It matches the Rfam family "tRNA". From Rfam's summary of the family: Transfer RNA (tRNA) molecules are approximately 80 nucleotides in length. Their secondary structure includes four short double-helical elements and three loops (D, anti-codon, and T loops). The record is from RNAcentral. Lineage: Bacteria; Pseudomonadati; Pseudomonadota; Gammaproteobacteria; Cellvibrionales; Cellvibrionaceae.
CUGGGUGUAGCGCAGUUUGGUUAGCGUGUUGGGUUUGGAACCCAAAGGUCGUAGGUUCAAACCCUACCACCCAGACCA